This is a long non-coding RNA of Poecilia latipinna (sailfin molly), 5347 nucleotides long. RefSeq lists it as uncharacterized. The record is from RefSeq and is a predicted model, not a curated record. The transcript has 3 exons. NCBI's taxonomy places the organism in Eukaryota, Metazoa, Chordata, Actinopteri, Cyprinodontiformes, Poeciliidae.
GGAUAUGAUCAGUAUGUUGCUUAUGUAGCACAUGCCUUUUUGUGAAUUCGAAUCACGCCGUUAGAUAUUUUCAUUAUCCUAAAAUCUAGAAACACUGUCACAAGCACAACUACACAAGCAGUAACCUGGAAAAGUAUUCAGUCCCUUUACACUUUUCUGUUAUGAACACAAAUAUUGCAUUUUAUUGAGAUUUGAUUUGAUAAAUUAAUGAUUUGUGGUGUACAAGUGUUAAGGAGGAAAGUUAAACCUGGUUCACAAAAAUCUUUUACAAAGACAAAAGUCUCCAAAGUGUGCCAGGCAUUCAUACUUCCCCCCUUUUGAGUCAAUACUUUGUAGAUUCAGUUGUCGCAGCAAUUUCAGCUGCAGAGUACGUUUCUGCUCACGAUACACACCAAGAGAUGGUCAUUUUGACCCAUUGUCUGGGUAAAGACAAGCAGUCUAUACCCACACAAAGCUCCAAGCUCAUUCAAGUUGGACAGAGAGCCUCUACUAACAAAACCUGUUUAGCCCUAAGGAGCUUUAGAAGUACUUUCCACCUGGAAAUAUAUAACAAAACUGUUGUUAGUUGUUACCAGACCUAAUUUAUUAGCAAUAAAAACGUUUCUCCAGAAGGUGCAAAAUGCUACAAAAAUCCUUGUCAGAAUACAAAAGAUAUGCCUCCGACUGUUAAAUCUGCAUCUCGACUAAAACUAAAGUAGAACUGAAUCAGUUGAAGUAAAUUUACUCUGGAGGUUUAGAGACAUGUACCAAGCUGACACUGCAUGAAAAGUGAGAUUUUCGACAGCUAUUGACGCCUAGUUCUGCCGUGCGCAUGGAGAUUGAGGGCUAUCGGCAAGAGGUUUUUGUCAGAGUGGAAAAUUGUAGAGCACUGCCAGGAAUGGUCAAAAACGCAGUGUGUCCGCGUUCCCCUAUUUUAUACUACAGUUUUCACGGUGUCGAUGAAAAGAAAGGUCGAGAUUAAACUGCACCCGUUUGAAACUCCCUGCGUCUGGCUGUUCAAUCCGAGUGGCCGCGACAUAUAGUUUAAUUAGAAACAGACUUAUCCGCUCCCCUGCAGCCCCUGGCUCGUCUCGCCCGCUCUGUCAGGGCAGAGCGGCUCGUUAAGCAGAAAGAACCACCGUUUCCCGCUGGUUUUUGGCAAUGUGUAAAAAGCAAAAAUAAGACAAUAUCUAGUGUUCAUGAUUGCUAAUUUUAUUGUUAUUGUUACUAUUAAUUACAAAAACAUUUAUUUAAAGUUGGUGCUGAAAGUUAUUCAGCACUAAGUUAGUGUUUAAGUUAAGUUUUACUUAUAAAUUAAAUUAUAUGUGUCAUUUUAUUUUAUUAAGUGCUUUAUUUUUUAGGAACAUAAAAUUACUCUGAACAUUUGAAAUUGCUGGCGAAUUACAAGUUAUUUGCAGUGGAGACAACUAUAAGAUUGAAUUCAGUCAUUCUUAAAGUUUGAUUUGUGAUUUUGUCUUUUCUGAUAGAUUUUGUAAUUUUACAUCCAGGAUCUUCAGGAGAAUUGAGCAAAACUCAUUGUUCUCAAUGAAGACCUUCUGUAUGGCCAAGAACAUGAGUCUGCUCCCUCAUGGUAUUGAAGCUCAGAAGAAAUGUUCUCUAACGUGUUUUCAUGCUUUUUAGUUACUGCAACAUUUUAACACUAGCUUAUGUUUGAUCCAGAAGAUGAUGUAGUCCUGCAGCUGCUGCCAGUUCUCCUCCCUGCUCCACCUCUUACUCAUUUGGGAGAAGAGUUUCAGACCCAUCAACCUGGAAGUUCAGAAGGUUUCAUUGAUAUCCAGCCUGGAAGUCAACCUUCAUCUCUGAAUCAUGCUCCAAUUGUUUGCUGUUUAAAUAAGUGCAUCACUAAUGGCCUGUUUUUUCUGUCUUCUCUCUCCAUCAGGAUGGGACAAAGCUGGUGGCACAUCUACAAAAUGCGACAAGCCGUUACGUUUGACGACCCGGAGGCAGGUCCUGACCAGGAGGCAGGUCCUGCUAGUAGGUAGGUCGGGUCUCGGAGGUAGGUCCUGACUCAGAGGCAGGUCCUGUCUCAGAGGCAGGUCCGGUCUCAGAGGCAGGUCCCUAUCCAGAGGCAGGUCCUGUCUCACAGGCAGGUCCGUCUCAGAGGCAGGUCCUGUCUCAGAGGCAGGUCCUAGCUCGGAGGUAGGUCCUGACUCAGAGGCAGGUCCUGUCUCAGAGGCAGGUCCUGUCUCAGAGGCAGGUCCGGUCUCAGAGGCAGGUCCUGACUCAGAGGCAGGUCCUGUCUCAGAGGCAGGUCCUGACUCGGGUUCUUGCCUCUCUUCUGUGUCCAAAGCGUCUCCACAACAGGCAGCCUUUUUGAUGACCUUCCAUGUCUUUUGAAGGAAGUUUUCUUGAAGAUGUAUUUUUCUCGGUCGUGCCAGGUUCCUUCUGAAGCUCUGUACCACCUUGUAAAUUACUACUGGGUUGUCACUUUUGAUCAUCUUGAACAACAACUCUCUAACCACAUCUUCAUUGCCCUAGAGAAGUUGCAAGAUGUCUCGGCAGAGUUUUCGUUCCAUAUUCUCAAAAAAGACGAAAUCUAUGUCUUUUACUUCCUACCAGAUUUUUGGAGCAAGCUUUUUAUGUUCAGGUUCGGUGUGCUUCAUUUUGUAAGCCGCAUAACUAGAUCUGUUACUGGACUUAUAAAUUAAUCUCCAAAGAAUUUGUUCCACCAUAACUCUCCUUUCAUCUUCGGUUCCACGUUUGAAACCCAUCUUUGUUCGCUUCCUUCACAAAUUCUUCAGGAUCCAUUCCUGCCUUAGUAAAAUCCUCACACAGGCAGUUUUCAUCUGAGUACAAGUCCUCAUUAGGAAAAAAAAAAGUAUUUCUAAUCUUUCUUUUUGUAGACUUAAACAUUUUCUUUGGAGGAACAGGAUUCUCCAGGUGACGCUUGAAUUUUUCCACAAUUACUUCAUGUCCUUCUGGGUAAUCCAUUAGUGCAAUUAAAUGCAGUCCAGAGGCAAAGUGGAAUGCAUCUCUUGCAAUACUCUGGAAAAUCCGUUCACUUAGCUCUUCUGAUACCUCCGAGAGUACGUCCACGUUUAAUUCUCCAGUUUUUCUCAAAAGCAAUAUCAAAAUUUUGCUGUGUUGUUCCUCAAAGUUUUGUCUGACAAGAUGUAGAGUUGGACCAUCUGCAGCCUUUUCGAUCACUUCCCACAGAAGUUCACUGAGAAAGUUUCUCUUCUUGUAAUCUGGGCUUCUUUGUCCAGGAUGAACUUUGUUGGACAAUGUUUUUUUGACUUUUGUCCAAAAAGAGACUUGAGGCCUCACAUGACACAGACAUCAUUUGAAAUCAUGCUGAUGACAUCAUUGUCAGCAGCAUGGCAACUGUUGCUAGGGCUAAUUAUAGCAUGCAGUGAGCAUGUGCUAUGAAAAAAAAUAGAACCUGUGGGCACUAAAUGCAUUAUUCCCACAAAUCUGAACUGGCAGUGAUCUGCGCAGCUUCGCCGGAACAGGAGGGGCCAGGGAACCAUCGGCUUUGGGCCAACGGGUAGGGCACUUUACUGCCUUACCCAUUUCUGUAAUUUGGGUUCCAUCUCCUAACAGGCAUAGGGCAAGUGUCAGUGGAACCGCUACAUCCAACCAGUUACUCAGCAAAUCCACCGCUUUAACCCAGAAGGGUUUAACCAUCUUUCUAUUCCCAUAUUCAGUGUAAAAAAGUUCCUACUUUUCAUCUGCUCCCCGGCGCAGGAAUCUGCUGCGAAUGAACGGUAGAUGCUCCGCUCGGUUUGGUCGCAGUCACGAGGUCAUAUUUAUAUUUUUUUCUGCAUAUUUUACAAAGUGAUUCUCUGUCACCUGGUCAUCCAGGCAAAGUCGUGAAAACGUAUAUUUUCUCAUGGUGACUCACUAGUCUCAAACGUUAGGCGCUUCCAACACUACGCAUGCGCACAGCAGAUCGGACAGCGAAACCAAUCGAGUCUGUUAACAUCAGCUCAGGUCCUGGGAGUAGAUAUCAUUUUUUAAUACAGAUUUUAUAGUUAAAGGAACUUAAAACAAAAAGUCAUCAUGAAUGUAAAAUUCUAAAUACAUAUAUUGAAGGAUCAUGAAAUGUUUAUUGAAAAAUUAACUAACAAGUCAAAUUCUAUUUGUUACCUUUUACUACCUUUUACUGGCCUUUAUUUGAGCUAAUUUAAUUUACUACCUUUUACUACCGUGUGGAAACCUUGUUACAUGAGGCAAGAAGCUUCUGGCAGUGAUUUAAUAAAUUGUUGAAGCUUGAAUUUACAUAGAAUUUCUGUAAAGUUUUACCACAGGUCAGUUUUUGCCUUCUCCAACAUUCAAAGCAAUUAAGAUGAAGUUUUUUUUAUCAAAGUCCUGUGUGUUCACCAGUUGGACUCUCACACCUAGCGCAGCAUCACAGUAGUGUGAUGACAAAUGUGACACAAUAAUGUCUCAUGUUUUGUAGUAGAGACAUUUUUCUGUCCUCCAGUCAAUGAACUGUGUUGUGUGGCUCUAGUAGCUCCACCUUAACCAUAUGGUACCGUUGUUUUUUGGACCUACACUAAAUGAGUUUAUUCAAGGUUUAUUCAGGACUUCCGUUCCAGAUAAAAACAAUCUAAAUAAUAUGUAAAUAAAUGUAUAUAUAUUCAGAAUAGCGAAAGUGUUUCACAAAUAGCCAGUCGGUACCAGUCGGCUGUAUGGGCCACUUUUACUUUGAACAGUCAAAAUAGCCUACAAAACUGUACCAACCCAUGCUUCUCAGUGGAAACGAGGCAUUAGAAGUCCUAACAUGGUACCUGGAGCAGGGAGGAUAGAAGUGAAUAAUGAGGCCAGGAAGUGUAGGGCGAAGAUGGGUGAGAGUAAUGAGGUGGAGGACAAGAGAUGAGAACUGUAGUGACACCCUAUGGAGAAAUAGGUGGGUGCUAUCAAAAGAACGUAGCACAAUGAAAGGUGUUAUGUUUUAUGCAAGAGAUUCCAGUGCAGCUGCAGUUGGUUUCUAUAGACACAGAGAGGUUGUAUAAAUAUUUUAAUAUUGUAAAAAAUGCACUAAUUGUGAGGAAUUAUUAUGAGAAACUAUUAAUUUUGAAUACACCACAAAACCUGAGCUGUCAUUUUAGCACGAUUUAGCCAAAAGUGCCAAAUUUGAUUUGUGCCUUAUAAGAGGGAAUCUUGUCGAACAAAAGGAGAUUAUUUCUUUAUAAAACAUAACAUUUGGUCUUGACACUUCUCUUGUUUAUUGUCAAAAUGUGCCCAUUCUGCACAACAACAAAUCAGUAAAAAGUAAAAAAAAUUAAACUGAAUUGCUGUGUAGAUUAACUGGCAUCAUGGGAUGCAUGUUCAAUCAAAUAAAGUCUCAAUAAAGUUUGGGACAUUGGAUGCUUCAGGGGUUCUGAACACCAUGGCAGUGAAC